UCCUUGGUAGUCUAGUGGGCAGGAUUUGGCACUCUCAUUGCCACGGCCUGGGUUCGAGUCCCAGCCAGGGAA
Anas platyrhynchos (mallard) is the source of this 72-nucleotide non-coding RNA. Lineage: Eukaryota; Metazoa; Chordata; Aves; Anseriformes; Anatidae. The record is from Rfam.